AACGCGAAGAACCUUACCUACCCUUGACAUGGCUGGAAUCCCUGAGAGAUUGGGGAGUGCUCGAAAGAGAACCAGUACACAGGUGCUGCAUGGCUGUCGUCAGCUCGUGUCGUGAGAUGUUGGGUUAAGUCCCGCAACGAGCGCAACCCUUGUCAUUAGUUGCUACGAAAGGGCACUCUAAUGAGACUGCCGGUGACAAACCGGAGGAAGGUGGGGAUGACGUCAAGUCCUCAUGGCCCUUAUGGGUAGGGCUUCACACGUCAUACAAUGGUACAUACAGAGGGCCGCCAACCCGCGAGGGGGAGCUAAUCCCAGAAAGUGUAUCGUAGUCCGGAUUGUAGUCUGCAACUCGACUACAUGAAGUUGGAAUCGCUAGUAAUCGCGGAUCAGCAUGUCGCGGUGAAUACGUUCCCGGGUCUUGUACACACCGAAU
Molecule: ribosomal RNA, 433 nt
Filed under: uncultured freshwater bacterium
Lineage: Bacteria
Description: bacterial SSU rRNA
Rfam family: Bacterial small subunit ribosomal RNA
Source: RNAcentral